CUUAGGAAAAUAUUGUCACUGAGG
This 24-nucleotide non-coding RNA is filed under the name Cricetulus griseus (Chinese hamster). Lineage: Eukaryota; Metazoa; Chordata; Mammalia; Rodentia; Cricetidae. The record is from RNAcentral.